AUGAAAGACGCUCACGAGAGAAACAUUCCACUCCUACUUCAGAAAGUGGCUUUUGUUGCUAUCGUUGUUAUUAUACUGAAGAGCUACAUGAGACAGAACGUUUGGCAGCCUUCCCACAAUCCUCAGCAUGUGGGAAUAGCAAGUAAUAAAGUGUUAGCCCCUGCCAACUGGUGGUUCCCUGUAAAAUGUCUCUGUUAACAACCAACACUGCUGCUAGCAGCCAUCGGAGCAAGGCGGCAAAUCUGUUCCUCUCUACAGUGUGGAAAACACCACUGAAAAAGUCAUCUAAUUACUUGAUUAAGAUGUAUCAAUCCUGAAAAUUGUUGAUCUAGAACACUGAGUCUCUGACAUUUAGUUUAUUCUUGAUUAAACACAAUAGUUUCAAACUGCCUCUUGUGUAUUGUCUUCAAAUACUGUGUGCCAUGCAGAGAAUUCGAACAGUAGAAACUUUUCAUGGGGGAGGAAAAAAAAACAGUUUGGGACCAAAUCUUUUCAACUCUUUCAAUACAGCUCUUCAAUAAGUCCCUGAGUUCAUAAAGGGAAAGGAUAGGACUUUCUACAAGUCUCUGUUAAGACUUGGGGAACAUAAUUAUUUUU
Molecule: long non-coding RNA, 597 nt
Filed under: Fukomys damarensis (Damara mole-rat)
Lineage: Eukaryota; Metazoa; Chordata; Mammalia; Rodentia; Bathyergidae
Description: lncRNA (ENSFDAG00000030072.1)
Source: RNAcentral